RNAcentral lists this transfer RNA (88 nucleotides) under Flavobacteriaceae bacterium. Its description in RNAcentral is "tRNA-Ser". It matches the Rfam family "tRNA". Rfam says of the family: Transfer RNA (tRNA) molecules are approximately 80 nucleotides in length. Their secondary structure includes four short double-helical elements and three loops (D, anti-codon, and T loops). Further hydrogen bonds mediate the characteristic L-shaped molecular structure. tRNAs have two regions of fundamental functional importance: the anti-codon, which is responsible for specific mRNA codon recognition, and the 3' end, to which the tRNAs corresponding amino acid is attached (by aminoacyl-tRNA synthetases). tRNAs cope with the degeneracy of the genetic code in two manners: having more than one tRNA (with a specific anti-codon) for a particular amino acid; and 'wobble' base-pairing, i.e. permitting non-standard base-pairing at the 3rd anti-codon position. RNAcentral also lists the same sequence under 3 other names. Lineage: Bacteria; Pseudomonadati; Bacteroidota; Flavobacteriia; Flavobacteriales; Flavobacteriaceae. The record is from RNAcentral.
AGAGAGGUGGCCGAGCGGUCGAAGGCGCACGCCUGGAAAGCGUGUAAACAUCAAAAGUGUUUCGAGGGUUCGAAUCCCUUCCUCUCUG